Molecule: ribosomal RNA, 434 nt
Filed under: uncultured Oscillospiraceae bacterium
Lineage: Bacteria; Bacillati; Bacillota; Clostridia; Eubacteriales; Oscillospiraceae
Description: bacterial SSU rRNA
Rfam family: Bacterial small subunit ribosomal RNA
Source: RNAcentral
ACGGGAGGCAGCAGUGGGGAAUAUUGGGCAAUGGGCGCAAGCCUGACCCAGCAACGCCGCGUGAAGGAUGAAGGUUUUCGGAUUGUAAACUUCUUUUAAGUGGGACGAUAAUGACGGUACCACUUGAAUAAGCCCCGGCUAACUACGUGCCAGCAGCCGCGGUAAUACGUAGGGGGCAAGCGUUAUCCGGAUUUACUGGGUGUAAAGGGCGUGUAGGCGGGACUGCAAGUCAGAUGUGAAAACCGAGGGCUUAACCUUCGGCCUGCAUUUGAAACUGUAGUUCUUGAGUGCUGGAGAGGCAAACGGAAUUCCUAGUGUAGCGGUGAAAUGCGUAGAUAUUAGGAAGAACACCAGUGGCGAAGGCGGUUUGCUGGACAGUAACUGACGCUAAGGCGCGAAAGCGUGGGGAGCAAACAGGAUUAGAUACCCUGGUA